RNAcentral lists this transfer RNA (72 nucleotides) under Candidatus Vidania fulgoroideorum. RNAcentral describes it as "tRNA-Val". It matches the Rfam family "tRNA". Rfam says of the family: Transfer RNA (tRNA) molecules are approximately 80 nucleotides in length. Their secondary structure includes four short double-helical elements and three loops (D, anti-codon, and T loops). Further hydrogen bonds mediate the characteristic L-shaped molecular structure. tRNAs have two regions of fundamental functional importance: the anti-codon, which is responsible for specific mRNA codon recognition, and the 3' end, to which the tRNAs corresponding amino acid is attached (by aminoacyl-tRNA synthetases). tRNAs cope with the degeneracy of the genetic code in two manners: having more than one tRNA (with a specific anti-codon) for a particular amino acid; and 'wobble' base-pairing, i.e. permitting non-standard base-pairing at the 3rd anti-codon position. The record is from RNAcentral. Lineage: Bacteria; Pseudomonadati; Pseudomonadota; Betaproteobacteria.
AGGUGCUUAACUCAGUGGUAGAGUAUCGCUUUUACAUAGCGAUUGUCGUAGGUUCAAAUCCUACAGUACCUA